This 1612-nucleotide ribosomal RNA is filed under the name Bilimbia lobulata. RNAcentral describes it as "LSU rRNA". It matches the Rfam family "Eukaryotic large subunit ribosomal RNA", at positions 1 to 1119 of the family's 3401-position model. Lineage: Eukaryota; Fungi; Ascomycota; Lecanoromycetes; Lecanorales; Ramalinaceae. The record is from RNAcentral.
GAUUGACCUCGGAUCAGGUAGGGAUACCCGCUGAACUUAAGCAUAUCAAUAAGCGGAGGAAAAGAAACCAACAGGGAUUGCCUCAGUAACGGCGAGUGAAGCGGCAAGAGCUCAAAUUUGAAAUCUGGCCCGUUCCGGGUCCGAGUUGUAAUUUGUAGAAGAUGUUUCGGGCGACGUGCCGGUCUAAGUCCCUUGGAACAGGGCGUCAUGGAGGGUGAGAAUCCCGUGUGUGACCGGCGUCCCAGUCCAUGUGAAACUCCUUCGACGAGUCGAGUUGUUUGGGAAUGCAGCUCAAAAUGGGUGGUAUAUUUCAUCUAAAGCUAAAUACCGGCCAGAGACCGAUAGCGCACAAGUAGAGUGAUCGAAAGAUGAAAAGCACUUUGGAAAGAGAGUUAAACAGUACGUGAAAUUGUUGAAAGGGAAGCGCUUGCGACCAGACCUGCCCGCGGACGAUCCCCGGGGGUUCUCCCCCGUCCAUUCGUCCGUGACCAGGCCAGCAUCGGUUUCGGUGGCCGGAUAAAGACCGUGGGAAUGUAGCUCCCCCCGGGGAGUGUUAUAGCCCAUGCGUGCAAUACGGCCCACCGGGACCGAGGACCGCGCUUCGGCUAGGAUGCUGGCGUAAUGGUCGUAAGCGACCCGUCUUGAAACACGGACCAAGGAGUCUAACAUCUAUGCGAGUGUUUGGGUGUCAAACCCACACGCGGAAUGAAAGUGAACGGAGGUGGGAGCCCAUCAGGGUGCACCAUCGACCGAUCCAGAAGUUUACGGAUGGAUUUGAGUACGAGCAUAGCUGUUGGGACCCGAAAGAUGGUGAACUAUGCCUGAAUAGGGUGAAGCCAGAGGAAACUCUGGUGGAGGCUCGCAGCGGUUCUGACGUGCAAAUCGAUCGUCGAAUUUGGGUAUAGGGGUACGUUCUCCCCUGCUUAUUCUAUCCCCCCCCCCCCCCCCCGUCGUUUGGUAGGUACAAGGAAGAGCGCUGCGGCCGUGAAAUUGUUCAUCGCCAAUCUCGUGGCCGUGGUGCGGGGUGACUCGUGCAACUAGAAGCUCUUCUUUGUGCUUACCAAGCCACUUUUUUUCUUCUUGUUUUCCGGCUACAAGGGCUAACAUUAAUGCAGGCGAAAGACUAAUCGAACCAUCCCUGGGCGUUGCCAGAGUGGUUGUGGGCGCUAUUAGGUGGUUAAUCAAGGCCCGGGCACCUGCCCACGCCUUCAGUCCUUGCGGGCUACAAUGCUAGAUGCAUGAAGGUCGCCCCGGGUUUCCGGACGGCGACCAACCUGCAGCAGACAUCGGUCCCCCCGAGUCUGUCCACAGACCAAACAGCAUUGGCUGGGGGGUUCUUCGAGGCCCCCGGUUUUAAUAUGGCCGAGUCCGACUCUCCGAGGAGAGUCGGUUUCGAGAUCUCCUCCCCGGGGAUCUCGAAACCUUUGGUGAUCAACGCUAGUAGCUGGUUCCUGCCGAAGUUUCCCUCAGGAUAGCAGUAACGUUUUCAGUUUUAUGAGGUAAAGCGAAUGAUUAGAGGCCUUGGGGGUGAAACACCCUUAACCUAUUCUCAAACUUUAAAUAUGUAAGAAGUCCUUGUUGCUUAAUUGAACGUGGACAUUUGAAUGCACCG